This 935-nucleotide long non-coding RNA is filed under the name Homo sapiens (human). RNAcentral's name for it is "long non-coding RNA NONHSAT190684.1". The record is from RNAcentral. Lineage: Eukaryota; Metazoa; Chordata; Mammalia; Primates; Hominidae.
AAUUGGAGAUAAAAAUAAUGUCUACCUCCUGGGGUUUUGAGAAGAUUAAACAUAAUAAUGGACAUGAGCACCUUGGACAAGUACCUGGCCUCAAGCAGUGGUCCCAGGGUCCAACUUGUGCUAUUUGGAAAUCAAGACAUGUCCAGAGAGGGUUUUCAGGAAAAGGCUUCCAGUGAUGCCACAUGCAAAGCUUAAUUGCUCCACUGAAACACUGGCAACAAAAAUCGUCUUCUCUUCUCCCUUUGUGAAAAAGGCUUUCACUUAAUGUGGAGAAAGGUAUUAUAUACCAGGGAAAUGGAACUUUGUAUAAAUGAUUUUCCCCCAAGAGGAACUAAAGCAUUUGGAAGGUAUCUGAAUUCAGGUGAGGACCUAAUUUAUUACUGAGGACCUAAUCUACGGGAGGUGCAAAGAAGAAUGAAAUAUUGUGUCUGCCUGUGAUGCACAUUGCUUAAUAUGAAUACUAAGAAAAAUAGUCAUCUGUUUCUGUUCCUGUCCCCCUCACUGCAAGGGCACUUCAGGACUGCAGCAAAGGGCAUUUGAUGGAGUCUAUAACAGGAAAGAAAGUCCUCCUCUGGAAUUUCUGACUAUAUUUCAUUGGCCACAACUGGAUUCCAUGGCCACCCCUAACUACUGGGGAGGCUGAGAAUUCAAAUGCUGAAAAUUGCAAUCUCCAUAGUGAAAGACACGAAGAAAGAAAUUGAUUGAAAUGGGUUAAUUAAUUCAAUUAGCAACACUUUUUCUCAGCAAAGGAGCUGAGAAAGAAAAUGUUUUGGUUCAGUCCUGGGUAGGGGUGCUUGACAGUGCUUAAUAUCACCAGCACUGAAGGUAAUAAAUAUUAUCUCUCUUUUCUAUCAUGAAUAUGAAUGAUACUCUGAAGGCUGAAUGCAACCUCAGAAUUUAAGUGAGAAAUGAGGCAUGCAACACUUUUGAAAAUA